Molecule: ribosomal RNA, 120 nt
Filed under: Petromyzon marinus (sea lamprey)
Lineage: Eukaryota; Metazoa; Chordata; Hyperoartia; Petromyzontiformes; Petromyzontidae
Source: RNAcentral
GCCUAUGACCAAAUUACACAGAAGGCGCUGGAUCUCGUCGGAUCUCAGAAGCCAAGCAGGAUGGAGCAUGGUUAAUGCUUGGCUGGGUGACUACCAUGCAUGCCAGGUUUGUCGUAGGCA